Molecule: long non-coding RNA, 354 nt
Organism: Vanessa atalanta (red admiral)
Lineage: Eukaryota; Metazoa; Arthropoda; Insecta; Lepidoptera; Nymphalidae
Exons: 3
Source: RefSeq, a predicted model, not a curated record
GCUGCGGCCAAGCCCACUCCCGGAUUCCUCUCUGGUUGGGAUGGACCCUCUCUAAGCUAUGGACAUGAAGCGGCACCCGCUCUCACGAUAUCGCACGCAGCGCCCGUGUACCAAGCAGCCCCUGUAGUGCACGCUGCCCCGGUAUACCACGCUGCCCCUGUGGUCCAUGCUGCGCCUGUGGCAGUCGCUAAAGCGGCUACUAGCUACUCCUCCUUCCAACGUGUGAUCCACCCUGUCCAACAUCAAGUUGUUGCACAGCCCGUGGUUCAUGCAGCCCCCGUGGUCCAUGCUGCCCCAGUGAUCGCCCAACCCAUCGUCCAUGCUGCCCCUGUCAUCUCUCAUGCCCCGAUCGCC